CUCAGUCACAUGCUCUCAGCUGGAAAGCAAAAGUUGCCAGAGAUGUCUGGGGAAGGGUGACAUGGAGCAUGCAGAAGACUGAACCAGAAUGCUUGUUUUUGAAGGAUUCCAGCAGGAUGAUUUCUGUGACUGAGAGACACCACAUUGCCCACAGACCCCGCUGCAGUGGCAAAAUCAAGGGUUUCAGAGUGUGCUCUUAAAAAUAUUGGAGCUAACCUGUGACAGCCAGAGGAAAAACAGGAGUGGACAACGAAGUCUGUGGUGUCAAGACAGGCAUGUAAAGGAAUGAG
This 290-nucleotide long non-coding RNA is filed under the name Apteryx rowi (Okarito brown kiwi). RNAcentral's name for it is "lncRNA (ENSARWG00000012428.1)". Lineage: Eukaryota; Metazoa; Chordata; Aves; Apterygiformes; Apterygidae. The record is from RNAcentral.